RNAcentral lists this ribosomal RNA (702 nucleotides) under uncultured bacterium. RNAcentral describes it as "bacterial SSU rRNA". It matches the Rfam family "Bacterial small subunit ribosomal RNA", at positions 1 to 702 of the family's 1533-position model. The record is from RNAcentral.
UAGAGUUUGAUCAUGGCUCAGGAUGAACGCUAGCGGCAGGCCUUACACAUGCAAGUCGAGGGGUAACAGGAGAGAGCUUGCUCUUUCGCUGACGACCGGCGCACGGGUGCGUAACACGUAUGCAACCUACCUCUUACUGGGGGAUAGCCCAGAGAAAUUUGGAUUAACACCCCAUAGUAUCAUUCUUCCGCAUGGUUGAAUGAUUAAAGGUUACGGUAAGAGAUGGGCAUGCGCCCCAUUAGCUAGUUGGUGAGGUAACGGCUCACCAAGGCUACGAUGGGUAGGGGGUCUGAGAGGACUAUCCCCCACACUGGUACUGAGACACGGACCAGACUCCUACGGGAGGCAGCAGUGAGGAAUAUUGCGCAAUGGACGAAAGUCUGACGCAGCCAUGCCGCGUGCAGGAUGACGGCGCUACGCGUUGUAAACUGCUUUUAUAUGCCAAGAAACCUUCGGACGUGUCCGAAGCUGACGGUAGCAUAUGAAUAAGCACCGGCUAACUCCGUGCCAGCAGCCGCGGUAAUACGGAGGGUGCAAGCGUUAUCCGGAUUUAUUGGGUUUAAAGGGUCCGUAGGCGGAUCAUUAAGUCAGUGGUGAAAGCCGGCAGCUCAACUGUCGAACUGCCAUUGAUACUGGUGAUCUUGAAUACUGUUGAAGUUGGCGGAAUAGGUCAUGUAGCGGUGAAAUGCUUAGAUAUGACCU